This is a long non-coding RNA of Cyprinus carpio carpio, 2421 nucleotides long. Lineage: Eukaryota; Metazoa; Chordata; Actinopteri; Cypriniformes; Cyprinidae. The record is from Ensembl.
AUAUUUUGUCAUCAAAAGUUUAAUGUACAAUUUGGGAUAAUACAUUUUGAUGUGGUACUGAGAGAGUAUAAAUAUAGUUAGAACAAAAAAAUAAAUAAAUAAAUGGAUACUUGUCCAUGACUAAACAUCUGAAGGUAAGUUAAAAGAAAGAGCACAACUUUACAAUCCGUAUCCAGUCUCAUCGCUCAAUCAGUGCUUCAGCAUCACAAAGACGCCAAUAUAACUGCUUGUAAACAAUGUCACGUAACGUCACAUUUACCUCAGAAACAAACAUAUUCGGUAACCAUAAACUCAUUAGUCAGAAAAAUAAACUGUAGAGAGGGGCAUAUAACAUAUUCAUUAUAAACUUUACUGUUCUCCAAUGUUUAAUUUAUGUUUGAGAAAAUAUAUAAUUUUUUUAUUACAGCCACCAUUUGGUUUAUAUUUAAAAAUAAAAAUAAUAAUAAUUAAAGUAGAAAUAUUAUUAUGCAAUUGUAACUUUAUUAUUUAAAAAACUUAAGUGUAAUAUUAGCCUUCAAUAUUAUAGUUCUAAGAAAUGACUCUCAUGUAUAUUUUACAGCAUUUUUUUCCUUGAGAAAAUUUGGCAUGUACUGUACCUGAUAAAUAUCCAAAUAAUCGACAUUGAAUCGAAUCAGUAAUCAAAUCAAAUCGCGAGCUUGUGAAUGAGAAUUGAAUCGAAUUGUUAGAAUGAGCUUUUAAGUUGUUUUUGUUCAGGUGUUCAGUUCAGUACGAAUCAUUUCAUUAUAACUAGAGAGUCAUUGUGCAGUGUAGAGAAUUUAAUUGAUUAUCACCUAACUUCGUGAGAUCGUGAGUGAUUAUAAAGGAAGUGUUUAUUGAUUGACAGGUCUCCUGUCCCCGUGUUGAGAUAAAUCAGAUGUUACUGUAGUUCUAAAAUAAAUGUGAAUAUGCAUUAAUUCAGCUCACUCACAAAAAACAACACAGAUUCAGUAUUCCUCAAAAUGAAUAAAAAUAAUGCAACUCAGAAUAUGACGCAAACCUGCAAUAAUUAAAUGUUAAACAACACAAAUAUCCUUUAUGUAUUUAAUCCCAUUCUAUUAACUGAUGUAUUUGCUUCUGACCUUUGAUGAUCCAGUUCAACCAUACUAAUAAGCAAAAUUAUACUCUAGACAAACAUUAGUGUGUCUUUUUUUUAUUGCUUAAGUGUGUUGAAAUUUCUUUUUCUGCUUUUUCUGCGUAUUAAUUUUACUUUUGCUGUGAAAAGCCUAUUAUAUUUGCCAAAAAUAUAACUUUUUUAUUUUAAAAACAAACAAGGCAGCCCUGUACAGAUUUAAAAAGUAACGCAAAAGUAACAUAAUGCAUUACGUUCCAUAAAAGGUAACGUAAUUAGUUACUUUUUUUAAUGAAGAAACGCAAUAUUGUAAUGCAUUUCUUUUAAAAGUAAGUUUCCCCAGCACGGUGCACAGCAGUGCCCAGCAGCUCAGUCGUAAACAUGCUCUGAACUGUUUGUGUUAUCAGAUCUGGGAAGACUGCCAAAUAUGUGAGUUAGAAAACAUCACACUGAGGCACUUUGCUGCAUAUCAAGAACAUUAACCCUGAUGAAGACGAACAAGAUGCAGUUGAAGCAUUUCACCAAGAAAUGACUACUUUAAUCAACUUUAUCAAUACUAAUUUCAGUCUUACAUCAGGUGGGUCAGGUUGCAGGCCCAGAAAGGGAUGAAGGACACUUCUAACACCAGGCCUGAUCAGAGUGCUGAUGUCAGGCAAACGGCCGACACAGAAAGAUUCAUUUUUAUUUAUUUUUUAUAUAUAUAGCAUUUUUUACGAUCCAAAUUGUGUCAAAGCAGCACAGUGGGUUUAUCCCACUUCCACAUUAUUACUUAUUGAUUUAUUUUCCUUUUCUUUUUUUAAACCUGUAUACAGUUAUCUCUUUUAAUAUAUUGUUCUAUUGUAUUUUUUAAAGUAUUCUUUUUUUGAGUGUUCUUAUCUAUUAUAGACUUGCGCAGUCAUAGUUUCAAUCACUUAGCAGUUCUGUUCAGUGUGUUUCUUGCACUGGUUUGGUUUAGUUGGGAUCAUCACAGGGCAUCAGUAAGAAUGCACAGAAGUCCACAGCUGUGUCCCAAACUGAAGUGUGCGGACUCCGAAGUGCGAUUGCAUCACAGCAUCAUGAUGUAAUCUGUCCCAAUUCAGGAUGCACCCUCCAAAGACUGCAUUCCAAGACGGAUUGCGGGUGAGAGUUCUGUGGGGGAAUUAACAUUGAAAUGUGAGCGGUUGGGAACUAGCGACCUCUCCUGGUUGGAGGCAGUAUUAACAUCAUAAACUGAAAGCAGUCUUUAGAUGACUUGCUUUUCAAAUGUUUUAAAAUUGAUCUUCCGAGUCUAAUAUAAUCCAGCGGGCCAUAGGGCAGCCAGUUGCCCAUCCCUGCUUUAUAAUUUAGUUAUUUUAAUCCCAUUUGUCAACGCU